Long non-coding RNA from Coffea eugenioides, 1355 nucleotides. RefSeq lists it as uncharacterized. The record is from RefSeq and is a predicted model, not a curated record. The transcript is spliced from 3 exons. NCBI's taxonomy places the organism in Eukaryota, Viridiplantae, Streptophyta, Magnoliopsida, Gentianales, Rubiaceae.
GAAAGUCCUCUCUCUGUCUCUUGUCACAGACCAACCACCGUUUCUUUUGCAGCUCUUUCUCCUCCACAUCUUCCUUCUCCGCCUCCUCCCAUACUUCCUCCUCUGCCUCCACCUAUACUUCCAUUGCUGACGCCUUGUCUCUCCUCUUACUCAUCUUCCUCCUCUGCCUUUUCCCAGCAUUGAACAUCUACUUUUAUUUACGCAUGUUAAGAGUGAAAUUAUAGGGUUUCUUUCUGUAAAUUGGCUCAAAUCCAGUGGCUAUAAGUGAUAUGGGCUGCGCCAUGCGAAUUUCGUAGAUAAACAAGUCUGACCAUAGCCAGUACCAAGUUCACAAGGAUACGGCUCAAUCAGUUUGGUAACCUCUGCCGCGCCUCCAUUGCUGCUGUAAUCAUUUUUAUUCCUCUCAUCCUUAUUUUCUGGGCUCUCUCCUUCAGCUCUCCCGCUUUCCCCAAAUUUCAGACACAUUUAGGGCUUGUGAAAGCACUUGGAACUCUGUGCAGAAAGUGCAGAGAGCAUUAUUGCAGUCGGAUGUCCAUGCAAAAUCUGAUAAAAGUCCUGUAACAGUAGCUGUGUAGCACUUGGUGUAUGAUAAAAUUAGCGACGAGGUAUGUUAUAAACGGUAAUGACUUUUACAAAUAAUCCCACGAUUGAAUUUAUUACAGGGUAGUGGAGAGAGGUUUUCACCAAUUAAAUGAAGCAGAGCCUGGUCUACUUGAACAAGAACUUAAACUAACUGCUUGUAGAGUAACAUCUGUGCAGUGUCUUGUUCUUUAAAGGAGGUGAGAUUAUUGUAUACUUGUUGUAGCAAAUUAGUGACCCUGUCAAAUUUCUUGGAAGGCGUUGAAUAUUAGAUGAGAAUGAUAUUAAGAAGCAAGAGGAAAAGGUAGAGGCAGGUGCUUCAUUUCUUGUGAAAAUGGUACAUUUGCCCUACAGCUAAAGCAAAAUGGUCGUUGUGUCCUUAUUCAAGUAUUAUUUGUCAAAGGAAAAUGGUCUUAAUUUAGCAUUGAGCUUAUGCAGUUUUACAGUCACCCUUACCUGACAUGGAAACAUUGUGAACUGAUGGCCUGUGUAGGUCUGCAAGGAGGAGGAAAGUGGUGGUGCCUUGGUGUUUCAAUGUUGAAGCUGAUGGCUUGGUUCCUUUGUUUUGUGUUUUUGAAAUCCACAAUUGGUUGAAGUCUUGUCUUACCUUUGAAACUAGAAAGGACUAUUACAAUUCAAAAGGGCUACCUUUCUCUUUGGCUUGUUUUAGGCUUUUAGCGAGAAUACAUUUUUCUAUUUCUUUUAGCGAGAAUACAUUUAUUAAACUUUUAGUGAGAAUGCAUUCUUCUAAAGAAUCGUGAAUUUGUUUUGCAAUA